Molecule: ribosomal RNA, 468 nt
Filed under: uncultured bacterium
Lineage: Bacteria
Description: partial 16S ribosomal RNA
Rfam family: Bacterial small subunit ribosomal RNA
Source: RNAcentral
GACGAACGCUGGCGGCGUGCUUAACACAUGCAAGUCGAAUGGAAAGGCCCUGCUUUUGUGGGGUGCUCGAGUGGCGAACGGGUGAGUAACACGUGAGUAACCUGCCCUUGACUUUGGGAUAACUUCAGGAAACUGGGGCUAAUACCGGAUAGGAGCUCCUGCUGCAUGGUGGGGGUUGGAAAGUUUCGGCGGUUGGGGAUGGACUCGCGGCUUAUCAGCUUGUUGGUGGGGUAGUGGCUUACCAAGGCUUUGACGGGUAGCCGGCCUGAGAGGGUGACCGGCCACAUUGGGACUGAGAUACGGCCCAGACUCCUACGGGAGGCAGCAGUGGGGAAUAUUGCACAAUGGGCGGAAGCCUGAUGCAGCAACGCCGCGUGCGGGAUGACGGCCUUCGGGUUGUAAACCGCUUUCGCCUGUGAUGAAGCGUGAGUGACGGUAAUGGGUAAAGAAGCACCGGCUAACUACGUG